UGGGAUGUAGCUCAGCUGGUAGAGUGGCUGUCUCGCAUGCACAAGGCCCUGGGUUCAACCCCCAGCAACAUAA
Molecule: transfer RNA, 73 nt
Filed under: Marmota marmota marmota (Alpine marmot)
Lineage: Eukaryota; Metazoa; Chordata; Mammalia; Rodentia; Sciuridae
Also listed under: 1 other name
Rfam family: tRNA
About the family: Transfer RNA (tRNA) molecules are approximately 80 nucleotides in length.
Source: Rfam by way of RNAcentral